GAUGAACGCUGGCGGCGUGCCUAACACAUGCAAGUCGAACGGGAUGCGUAUCGGAAAGCUUCGGCCGGAAGAUACGUUAUCUAGUGGCGGACGGGUGAGUAACACGUGGGUAACCUGCCUUAUGGAGGGGGAUAACAGAGAGAAAUCACUGCUAAUACCGCAUAAGCACACAGUACCGCAUGGUACAGGGUGAAAAGAUUUAUCACCAUAAGAUGGACCCGCGUCUGAUUAGCCAGUUGGCAGGGUAAAAGCCUACCAAAGCAACGAUCAGUAGCCGAUCUGAGAGGAUGACCGGCCACAUUGGGACUGAGACACGGCCCAAACUCCUACGGGAGGCAGCAGUGGGGAAUAUUGCACAAUGGGGGAAACCCUGAUGCAGCGACGCCGCGUGAGUGAAGAAGUAUUUCGGUAUGUAAAGCUCUAUCAGCAGGGAAGAUAAUGACAGUACCUGACUAAGAAGCCCCGGCUAACUACGUGCCAGCAGCCGCGGUAAUACGUAGGGGGCAAGCGUUAUCCGGAUUUACUGGGUGUAAAGGGAGCGUAGACGGAGUGGCAAGUCUGAAGUGAAAACCCUGGGCUUAACCUGGGGACUGCUUUGGAAACUGUUAAUCUAGAGUGUUGGAGAGGUAAGUGGAAUUCCUGGUGUAGCGGUGAAAUGCGUAGAUAUCAGGAAGAACACCGGAGGCGAAGGCGGCUUACUGGACAAUAACUGACGUUGAGGCUCGAAAGCGUGGGGAUCAAACAGG
This 746-nucleotide ribosomal RNA is filed under the name uncultured Oribacterium sp. RNAcentral's name for it is "bacterial SSU rRNA". It matches the Rfam family "Bacterial small subunit ribosomal RNA", at positions 28 to 776 of the family's 1533-position model. Lineage: Bacteria; Bacillati; Bacillota; Clostridia; Lachnospirales; Lachnospiraceae. The record is from RNAcentral.